This 538-nucleotide ribosomal RNA is filed under the name Ohtaekwangia koreensis. Its description in RNAcentral is "bacterial SSU rRNA". It matches the Rfam family "Bacterial small subunit ribosomal RNA", at positions 359 to 905 of the family's 1533-position model. The record is from RNAcentral. Lineage: Bacteria; Pseudomonadati; Bacteroidota; Cytophagia; Cytophagales; Fulvivirgaceae.
AGUGAAACUGGAUGCAGUCUGACCAGCCAUGCCGCGUGCAGGAAGAAGGCCUUCUGGGUUGUAAACUGCUUUUGCCAGGGGAUAAAAUGGGCGUGCGCGCUUAAUUGAAGGUACCUGGUGAAUAAGCCACGGCUAACUACGUGCCAGCAGCCGCGGUAAUACGUAGGUGGCAAGCGUUGUCCGGAUUUAUUGGGUUUAAAGGGUGCGUAGGCGGUCCUUUAAGUCAGUGCUGAAAUACUCCAGCUUAACUGGAGGGGUGGCAUUGAUACUGGGGGACUUGAAUGAAGUCGAGGUAGGCGGAAUUGACGGUGUAGCGGUGAAAUGCUUAGAUAUCGUCAAGAACACCGAUAGUGAAGACAGCUUACUAGGCUUAUAUUGACGCUGAGGCACGAAAGUGUGGGGAUCAAACAGGAUUAGAUACCCUGGUAGUCCACACUGUAAACGUUGAUAACUCGCUGUUGGCGAUAUACAGCCAGCGGCUUAGCGCAAGCGAUAAGUUAUCCACCUGGGGAGUACGCCGGCAACGGUGAAACUCAAG